Molecule: ribosomal RNA, 253 nt
Filed under: uncultured bacterium
Lineage: Bacteria
Description: partial 16S ribosomal RNA
Rfam family: Bacterial small subunit ribosomal RNA
Source: RNAcentral
UACGUAGGGCGCAAGCGUUGUCCGGAAUUAUUGGGCGUAAAGAGCUCGUAGGCGGCCUGUUACGUCUGCUGUGAAAUCCCGGGGCUUAACCCCGGGCGUGCAGUGGAUACGACCACCCUGGAGGGACGUAGGGGGACCUGGAACUUCCGGUGGAGCGGUGAAAUGCGUUGAGAUCGGAAGGAACGCCCGUGGCGAAAGCGAGGUCCUGGACGUUUACUGACGCUGAGACGCGAAAGCCAGGGGAGCGAACGGG